GGUGGCUCAGUGGUAGAGAGCUUGCCUUGCAUGCAUGAGCCCCUGGGUUCAAUUCCCAGCACCA
This 64-nucleotide transfer RNA is filed under the name Dipodomys ordii (Ord's kangaroo rat). It matches the Rfam family "tRNA". Rfam says of the family: Transfer RNA (tRNA) molecules are approximately 80 nucleotides in length. Their secondary structure includes four short double-helical elements and three loops (D, anti-codon, and T loops). Lineage: Eukaryota; Metazoa; Chordata; Mammalia; Rodentia; Heteromyidae. The record is from Rfam by way of RNAcentral.